Long non-coding RNA from Pistacia vera, 1163 nucleotides. RefSeq lists it as uncharacterized. The transcript has 2 exons. The record is from RefSeq and is a predicted model, not a curated record. Lineage: Eukaryota; Viridiplantae; Streptophyta; Magnoliopsida; Sapindales; Anacardiaceae.
CUUGUUUGGAGGCAGGGCUUACAUUGUCAAACUGAGAGAUUCCUUUAUUCAUUUAUGUCAAAUAUAGUUUCAAGUCUCAGUGCAUAUGGUUUAUCUGGAGAAUGACUGAGAAUGUUAUGUUCAUCUAACGUCAGCAAUUUUUGUGGAGGAUGGAAUGAUUAGUGACUCUGGUUUUGAGUGUCCGGAAUCUUGAUGGUGGUAUAUUGUACCCUCUGUUUAUAGCAUCGUAAUUAACUCAACUCAAGUUGACCUGAAAGCUAUACACUGAAAAUUUUACCCAACGAUUUAGAGUAGUUAUAUGUAUUCUUUGUUGCUAUGUUGCUCUAUUUAGCCUCACUUAUUCAAUUACUUACAAGCUUUUGGAUCUGUCCAGGAUUUGUCUCAGGGAGUAUGGGGUCUGGGUUAGGUCUUUAAUGCCACAUCCAAAGAUAAUAUUGAAUUUUACAAAAUUGAUAACUAUUAGAUUCAACUAAUGUGAAGAUUUUACAAUGCAUAUUAUGGUAUACAUUCCAAUGAAUCAAUUCUGGCCCAUCAACUUGUCAUCAUUUUCUAGUUCUUGAUGCUCAUAUGAUUACAUUCUGUGCUAUUUCUGUUAGAUUUAUGUUUUCAGAGUUCUGUAAUUUUCUCAAUAAAUAAGUGUGUUACAGAGUGGAGAUAAGGCUAUGGUUUUGUGCUUCGUGGAGUUCAUGGACUCAAAGUGUGCUGUGACUGCUAUGGAAGCUCUUAAUGGUUACAAGUUUGAUGAUAAAAAACCUGAGUCCCCUACUUUGAGGAUCCAAUUUGCGCAGUUCCCUUUCCGUCCAUCUGAUGGUGAUGAGCAGCGGAUUGGGAUUCCACGGUGAGUACUUGUGCAUGGUUGGACGACAAUCCAUUUAGUUGGUUUGGAUUUGUUAUGGUAUAGAAACAGCCGUCCUCAUUUUGAAUUGUAUAGUUUUGAGCCAUUCUGUGGUUUUGAGUAGCCAUUCUCAUAUAAAAUUACGUUUGGGUGAUUAAAUAAGCUUGUACAUUCCUAUUGAUGCUCCACCCUUAGGCAUUGGUUGGUUGCGUAAAUUUAUGUCCAUUUCUCCCAAACUGAUGAAAUGGACCUCAUAAAUUGAAAAUGCCAUUUUAUUUUUGACGUCCUAAUUCCAUCUUCAAAUUUUUAAUCCUUCUCUACUUUAUCA